GACGAACGCUGGCGGCGUGCCUAACACAUGCAAGUCGAGCGGGGUGGAGGCGAGAGGUAACUCAAGCUUCUACCUAGCGGCGGACGGGUGAGUAACGCGUGGGCAACCUGCCUCAAGGAUCGGGAUAACAGCUCGAAAGGGCUGCUAAUACCGGAUAUGCCUAUGGCCUCGCAUGGGGCUGUGGGCAAAGGGGAAACCCGCCUUGAGAUGGGCCCGCGUCCCAUCAGCUAGUUGGUGAGGUGAAGGCUCACCAAGGCGACGACGGGUAGCCGGCCUGAGAGGGUGACCGGCCACACUGGGACUGAGACACGGCCCAGACUCCUACGGGGGGCAGCAGUGGGGGAUCUUGCACAAUGGGCGAAAGCCUGAUGCAGCGACGCCGCGUGAGCGAAGAAGGCCUUCGGGUUGUAAAGCUCUGUCUGGAGGGACGAAGAAAGUGACGGUACCUCCGGAGGAAGCCACGGCUAACUACGUG
RNAcentral lists this ribosomal RNA (475 nucleotides) under uncultured bacterium. RNAcentral describes it as "bacterial SSU rRNA". It matches the Rfam family "Bacterial small subunit ribosomal RNA", at positions 28 to 507 of the family's 1533-position model. The record is from RNAcentral.